GACGAACGCUGGCGGCGUGCCUAAUACAUGCAAGUAGGACGCUGAAGGAGGAGCUUGCUUCUCUGGAUGAGUUGCGAACGGGUGAGUAACGCGUAGGUAACCUGCCUGGUAGCGGGGGAUAACUAUUGGAAACGAUAGCUAAUACCGCAUAAUAGUAGAUGUUGCAUGACAUUUGCUUAAAAGGUGCAAUUGCAUCACUACCAGAUGGACCUGCGUUGUAUUAGCUAGUUGGUGGGGUAACGGCUCACCAAGGCGACGAUACAUAGCCGACCUGAGAGGGUGAUCGGCCACACUGGGACUGAGACACGGCCCAGACUCCUACGGGAGGCAGCAGUAGGGAAUCUUCGGCAAUGGACGGAAGUCUGACCGAGCAACGCCGCGUGAGUGAAGAAGGUUUUCGGAUCGUAAAGCUCUGUUGUAAGAGAAGAACGAGUGUGAGAGUGGAAAGUUCACACUGUGACGGUAUCUUACCAGAAAGGGACGGCUAGCUACGUG
Molecule: ribosomal RNA, 495 nt
Filed under: uncultured bacterium
Lineage: Bacteria
Description: partial 16S ribosomal RNA
Rfam family: Bacterial small subunit ribosomal RNA
Source: RNAcentral